Molecule: small nuclear RNA, 117 nt
Organism: Scleropages formosus (Asian bonytongue)
Lineage: Eukaryota; Metazoa; Chordata; Actinopteri; Osteoglossiformes; Osteoglossidae
Gene: U5
Rfam family: U5 spliceosomal RNA
About the family: U5 RNA is a component of both types of known spliceosome. The precise function of this molecule is unknown, though it is known that the 5' loop is required for splice site selection and p220 binding, and that both the 3' stem-loop and the Sm site are important for Sm protein binding and cap methylation.
Source: Ensembl
ACUUCUAGGUUCCUAUUCAUAAUGCACAAAUCUUUCAUCUUUUACUAAAGAUUUCCAUGGAGAGAGACGCACUCCUUGUACUGACAGCAAUCUUUCCUUGUGUACUAGCUGAUCCCU